RNAcentral lists this ribosomal RNA (492 nucleotides) under uncultured bacterium. RNAcentral describes it as "partial 16S ribosomal RNA". It matches the Rfam family "Bacterial small subunit ribosomal RNA", at positions 29 to 507 of the family's 1533-position model. The record is from RNAcentral.
AGUGAACGCUGGCGGUAGGCCUAACACAAGCAAGUCGAACGGCAGCACAGUAAGAGCUUGCUCUUACGGGUGGCGAGUGGCGGACGGGUGAGGAAUACAUCGGAAUCUACUUUUUCGUGGGGGGUAACGUAGGGAAACUUACGCUAAUACCGCAUACGACCUACGGGUGAAAGCAGGGGAUCUUCGGACCUUGCGCGAUUGAAUGAGCCGAUGUCGGAUUAGCUAGUUGGCGGGGUAAAGGCCCACCAAGGCGACGAUCCGUAGCUGGUCUGAGAGGAUGAUCAGCCACACUGGAACUGAGACACGGUCCAGACUCCUACGGGAGGCAGCAGUGGGGAAUAUUGGACAAUGGGCGCAAGCCUGAUCCAGCCAUACCGCGUGGGUGAAGAAGGCCUUCGGGUUGUAAAGCCCUUUUGUUGGGAAAGAAAAGCAGCAGGUUAAUACCCCGCUGUUCUGACGGUACCCAAAGAAUAAGCACCGGCUAACUUCGUG